This 220-nucleotide ribosomal RNA is filed under the name uncultured Lactobacillus sp. RNAcentral describes it as "partial 16S ribosomal RNA". It matches the Rfam family "Bacterial small subunit ribosomal RNA", at positions 143 to 354 of the family's 1533-position model. The record is from RNAcentral. Lineage: Bacteria; Bacillati; Bacillota; Bacilli; Lactobacillales; Lactobacillaceae.
AUAACACCUGGAAACAGAUGCUAAUACCGGAUAACAACAGAUGAUGCCUAUCAACUGUUUAAAAGAUGGUUCUGCUAUCACUCUUGGAUGGACCUGUGGUGCAUUAGCUAGUUGGUAGGGUAACGGCCUACCAAGGCGAUGAUGCAUAGCCGAGUUGAGAGACUGAUCGGCCACAUUGGGACUGAGACACGGCCCAAACCUCCUACGGGAGGCAGCAGAG